Molecule: long non-coding RNA, 1093 nt
Organism: Rosa chinensis
Lineage: Eukaryota; Viridiplantae; Streptophyta; Magnoliopsida; Rosales; Rosaceae
Exons: 7
Source: RefSeq, a predicted model, not a curated record
AGCUCAUGUCGUAAAAGUUCUUGGAAUCCCUUCGCUCACUUCGUCUCAGAACCUACUCUACUUUCACUUCCGGCUCUCGAUUUUCAGGUCAGUUACUCAAUUCUCUCUUUGAAUUUUUCGGAUCUGAAUUUUGAAAUUGCUCGUUAUAGCUCGUUUACAGGUCGAGGAAGGUCUCGCUGACCUUGUCACCGGUGAAGGAAAGGACGGGGAUGGUGGCGGUUAGGGUUAGGGGUCGGUUGUCGCCGCCGAGGCUGAAUCCAAGCCAGCUUCUGAUUCCGGGAAGCCGUUCAGCGUCGUCGUGGAGUUUAAUAACUGGCGGAAGCAGCCUCAUUUGGCUGAGGCCGUGGCGGCGAUUCGGGCCUUGGCGUCUGUUAUAAGUUCCAGCGAGGCCCUGAUGGAGCUCGAAAUUGAGCUCAAGAAGGCUUCUGAUUCCCUAAAGGUUUGAGACAUGUCGUCUGAUUUCAAGUUAGAGGGAGUUAAAGGCCAUGAAAUUAAGGACCCAGAAGUUUGUUCUCCAAAUGGAAUACAUAAUAUUCUUGCAGAGCGAAGAACUAUGACUCUCAGUGACAGAUUAUCCCUGCUAUCAGCAGUGGCAUUACAGAUAUCUCCUUUGACACUGUAGGCUAUACUUGGCAAUUUUCAAAUUGCAUACUAACAGCAAGCUACUCGAUAAUAACUUUUGGAAAUGUUGAAAAGAUUGAUAUUGGUGAAGGGAGUGGAGAAUUCAAAUGCCUGCCAGGUCCUGCACUGUAUUUGUGAAGAGGAUCAUAGGCAUCCCUGGACUCCCGUCUUUGGUUCAGGGGCUUGAGGUUGGAUCUCAAUUUUGCAUGCCCCUGUCUUGGUGCCCCAGAUUCGGAACACAGUCACAUAGGAAAACAAGGCUCUAUGAUGUACGACUUCUUUAUGGGAAAUGGUUGGCAUGUGGCAUCAUAUCAGCCCAUAAUCAGCCCCUUCAAGUAAUCAUGUAAUAAAUCUGAAGACAAUUCUAAUCUAGCUAGCAUGUUCUAUAUUUGAAAAACGGUUAAUUAUACUAGGAUUUUGUAAUAUGAAGUUAUUUAAUUGAUAUAAUUUAUUACAUAAAUGCUUUUGUUUA